GAUGAACGCUGGCGGCGUGCCUAAUACAUGCAAGUCGAGCGAACAGACGAGGAGCUUGCUCCUCUGACGUUAGCGGCGGACGGGUGAGUAACACGUGGAUAACCUACCUAUAAGACUGGGAUAACUUCGGGAAACCGGAGCUAAUACCGGAUAAUAUAUUGAACCGCAUGGUUCAAUAGUGAAAGACGGUUUUGCUGUCACUUAUAGAUGGAUCCGCGCCGCAUUAGCUAGUUGGUAAGGUACCGGCUUACCAAGGCAACGAUGCGUAGCCGACCUGAGAGGGUGAUCGGCCACACUGGAACUGAGACACGGUCCAGACUCCUACGGGAGGCAGCAGUAGGGAAUCUUCCGCAAUGGGCGAAAGCCUGACGGAGCGACGCCGCGUGAGUGAUGAAGGUCUUCGGAUCGUAAAACUCUGUUAUUAGGGAAGAACAAAUGUGUAAGUAACUAUGCACGUCUUGACGGUACCUAAUCAGAAAGCCACGGCUAACUACGUG
RNAcentral lists this ribosomal RNA (497 nucleotides) under uncultured bacterium. RNAcentral's name for it is "partial 16S ribosomal RNA". It matches the Rfam family "Bacterial small subunit ribosomal RNA", at positions 28 to 507 of the family's 1533-position model. The record is from RNAcentral.